RNAcentral lists this long non-coding RNA (3405 nucleotides) under Citrus sinensis (sweet orange). Its description in RNAcentral is "long non-coding RNA (CSIN_LNC002375)". Lineage: Eukaryota; Viridiplantae; Streptophyta; Magnoliopsida; Sapindales; Rutaceae. The record is from RNAcentral.
CUAGACUGUGGGCACUUGCAUUAUUCAACAUCUGCAUGACCGCUUGUUUUGUACCGGAAAUGUUUUGGUUUUUAAUGGAAGAGGGAGUUUCUGCAGCCAUCAUGUGCAGCUCAAGAUCUGCUAUUUGUUUUCUUCUUCAACCUCAAAUCUCGAUUAAUUGUUUUUAUCCCAAAAAAAAAAAAAUUGUUCAUGGUGUUUGAGUAUGCUGAGAUUGAUGGAUGAAGAACAGCUUUAACCACUUUAUGGUCUUUUUUUUCUUUUUCAGGUGGUGAUGAAGAUUGGGGAAACAACUUCGCUGAGAGAGAGGCAUGCACUAUCAAGAAAAGUAAAACAGGUUCAGCAUCAGGCACCACCCACCCACUAUUGCUUUGGACCACAACAAAUAUAAAUUUACAAAAAAAAAAAUUCUAAAAUUUCUUUUGCUGCUGAAAGAUUUAAUAUUUUUCCCCAAUAUAUUUUUAAAAAAAUUCUCUAAUCUUUCACUUGGAUGCACAGAGAGAUCAAGCAGGAGGAGUUCUGAUCGAGUUCGGCGAGGAAAGAUUGACCAUGAAGCCUCACAAGUUACGGACGUGAAUAAUUACAAGUAUGCUGCAUAUGCUCUAGUCUUAUUCUCCUGGACAAUUUAUAUCAUUGAAACAGCUGUUCUUAGUCCUUCUUUUUACUUUUCACGUGGGCACAGGAUUUUUGUAGCUACAUGGAAUGUGGCUGGAAAAUCCCCUCCAAGUUAUUUGAAUCUUGAAGAUUGGCUUCAGACCUCACCACCUGCUGACAUUUAUGUUCUUGGGUAUGCCCAAUUAAUCAAAAAUUUUUUUUUCCUCACUCAUUUGUUUGAACUCUGUGAACGUAAGUAUAACAGAAGAAGCCUCAUUCAUCCCUUUGGCAUUCAGGUUUCAAGAGAUUGUUCCUUUAAAUGCUGGUAAUGUUUUGGGCACAGAAAACAAUGGUCCUGCUAGAAAAUGGCUAGCUCUUAUUAGGAAGACACUAAAUAGUCUUCCUGGCACUAGUGGUGGUUGCCAUACUCCUUCCCCAACACCUGAUCCCAUUGUAGUAACAAUAAUUAAUAAUAACUAAAAUAAUAAAGUUAAUAAAAUUUAAUAAUAAUAAUAACUUUAUUAUUUUAGUUAUUAUUAAUUAUUGUUAAUAUUAUUUUUAAUAAUAAUAAUAUUUUUAAUAAUAAUAAUAAUAGUAAUAAUAACAACAAUAAUGAUAAUAUUGUUAAUAAUGAUAAAUUAAUUAUUAAUACUAUGGGUAUUUUGGUAAAUUGAUUCUCAUUCAUAUUCCUCAUUCCCAUUUAUUUUGCCAAGUAAACACAUCAAUGGCAUUCCAGCACAUUUAAUUCCCAUUUAUUUUUGUCAAAUAAACAUUGAAAUCUUAUUCCUAUUCCUCAUUCUCAUUCCAGUCUAUUCCCAUUCUUAGCUCAUUCACAUUCCACCUCAUUCCCAUUUCAUGAAAUAAACACACCAUAAAAGUAUUAUCUUACUGGUAACCCAUGCCCGCACAAUGCUCAGGUUCUAAAAUAAUUUGGAGAAUGCUACAGUAGUCCCUCAAUGUGUAUGAGCUACUCAAACAUAAACAUGUUUACUUUGGUGCACUUAAUUCAUCAAAAACAAGCUGCAAAUCCAAAUGCGAGAUAUAUUUGUGAUUAACACUAAAAAGUGUAUGUGUAAUAAGGAUAAAAUUAUUAAUUUUUUACUUAAAGUGUUGAUUAAUGCGCGCAUAACUUAUAAAUUAUAUGAAUGCUCCCCAAAUAAAUUUUUGUGUUAAAUUAAUUCACAAUAUGUUAAUUUUUACCUUAUAAAUAUUUUUCAAGAAUAAAUUGGAAUUGAAAGCGGGAACAAAGAAGGACUACUGGAGCGAUUUGGAAGCAUUAUUGAGGAGAUGAAAAUACAUAAAUAAUAAUAAAAAAAAGAACAAAAAUCGAAUUGUUUGGCUUCUCAUUAUGGUCAAGUGGCCAAUUACACAUUUCAAUGUGUGUAUAUAUAUAUAUAAAAAAAAAAAAAAAAAUAAUAAUAAUAAUAAUAAAAAAUAAAUAAAUAAAUAAUGCCUCAGAGGGACGGAGAGAGAGAAAGAGAGAGGCUCUUAUUAUUAUUAUUAUUAUUAAUAAGCUCUCUCCAGCAGCACUUUAUUCUCUUGAAAUUGGAUACUUUUGCUCUGUACCGGAACGAGGUUUUAAUUUUAUCAAAUUAAAAUAUAAGACUAAUACUAUUGACUGCCAUUACUAUAUAAUCUCACAAGUCUAGCUCUAUGCCCUUUUUCUUUUAUGUGUAAUAUGUCCUACAUUGUCCUGUUCUACUAUCAGAAUCUCAUUGUCUUGCUUCCACGCAUCAGUUGUAGACUUGUAGUCUUUCUUUCUUCAUCAUUUCCGUUUCAGUUCCCCUCGACUCAACAAACAAAAACACGUACUCAGUGAAAGAAUACAAAAACGAACAAACCCAACUGGGCACUUUGCAUUUUUUCUUUUUUUACCUUCGAAAAAUAACUGUAUAACGUGCCCAGAAACUAGAGAUUGUCUUGGCUUCCUCAAUUCUUUCCUGUUCAUUCCUUGAGUCAACAAAAUAUUUUACUCAUUUCGUGCUUAAAACCAGCACUCUUGGUUCUACCGAGAGAAAGGAAACAAACCCAGGAGUUGAAGUUAAUUUUUUUUUUUAAAAAAAACUUGGCAGUUUGUUUUUAAUUGCUGUUCUUGUUCGGUCGUCUUCAUUCACAUUCCCUUUCGAGAAAAAUUAAUCCAGCUGAAAAAAACAGCAGUUUGUUAAUUACAUCAGGAUUAGCUGUAUGAAGUUUUGAAACAAUGAGAGAUGGGAACUCCAAGAAAAGCAAGGUUUAUUUGUCUUGAUAAAAUGCCAAAACUUCUCUGAUAUCCAUUUACAUUUUGUUAUGAGAUUACUGAUUCUGUUUUUCUCUUCUUUUUUUGUUCCCUUCUUGAAGCUUUCGUGGCCAAAAACUCUGGUCAAAAAGUGGUUUAAUAUCAAGAACAGGGCAGAGGACUUUCAAGCAGAUGAUGAUGAUUAUGAGGGUGAUUAAUUUGUCUAUAUCCUCUUCAAUUUGGGUGGUUUAGGUGCCAAUUUGGGUUCUGGGAUUGUAAAUUUGUAGCUUUCAUAUUUUGAAAAAAAUAAAAAAUGGGUUUUUUUUUACAACUAAGUUACUGGUGUUGGAUUCUUCUAGACUGUGGGCACUUGCAUUAUUCAACAUCUGCAUGACCGCUUGUUUUGUACCGGAAAUGUUUUGGUUUUUAAUGGAAGAGGGAGUUUCUGCAGCCAUCAUGUGCAGCUCAAGAUCUGCUAUUUGUUUUCUUCUUCAACCUCAAAUCUCGAUUAAUUGUUUUUAUCCCAAAAAAAAAAAAAUUGUUCAUGGUGUUUGAGUAUGCUGAGAUUGAUGGAUGAAGAACAGCUUUAACCACUUUAU